This is a long non-coding RNA of Oxyura jamaicensis (ruddy duck), 621 nucleotides long. RefSeq lists it as uncharacterized. NCBI's taxonomy places the organism in Eukaryota, Metazoa, Chordata, Aves, Anseriformes, Anatidae. The transcript has 3 exons. The record is from RefSeq and is a predicted model, not a curated record.
AACCAACCAAGGAUAUAAAUAAUAAUAAAAAAGUGAGCUGGUUAACAGAUGGUCCCAGAGCUAAGGGAGGCUCUCUGAAAUGAGCUCAACCACACUAAGCUGUUAGAGGCUCCCAGCAAACAGGCCAAAAUAGCCCUUGCUAAAUGCUGGAGUCAUUAUCAAACACACAAAUCUGCCUGAAAAUGAGACAACGUUUCUACUGAAAGCAAGACUGUUAAAAGUACAACCUCCUUAUUCCGCAUACUUAUGCCCAGUUCAGGUAUGAAGGCAAGACGUGCGUGGCUUUAUCCUUCCAGACUUACCAGGAGAGAACACUGGGGCAGGAACAGGACUCAGCUAUGCUUGAUGGUGCAGGAGUCUCCACUUCCAGAUGCUGAAUGAAGAUUCCCUUCCACUGCAGACGUAGAAGAGACAACACAACAUGAAAAGUCUCAAAUUCUUCUCUUGUUGCCUCUUUUUCCAUUUUCCUAAUGACACAGGGUUAAUGUGAACAUCACUGCACAUCACUGCUCUGCUUCCCUCCCUCAAACAUACCAGAGGCAGGAUUUGAAUUUGCAGUUGAAAAUCGGAGAAACAGACAGCAAAAAAAACUAACUGUAAAGACAAGUGCAAAGCACUACG